AUUGAACGCUGGCGGCAUGCCUAAUACAUGCAAGUCGAGCGGAUAAACGGAGCUUUCUCCCGUCUUCCGCGACCGACGGGCGAGUAAUGCCCACGUAUCUGCCCGGUAGUGAGGACUAACGUCCCGUCACGGGCCCUAAUCCCGCAUACGUCAUGAGAGAGAACCUCAUGGAUCUUCAGAGCUCAACCUAUCUGCUGUCCCUACGACGUAUUAGCUAGUUGGUUGGGUAAAGUCUUACCAAGGCGACGAUCCGUAACAGCUCUGAGAGGGUGAUCAGUCACACUGGAACUGAGACACGGUCCAGACUCCUACGGGAGGCAGCAGUAGGGAAUAUUGCACAAUGGGCGAAAGCCUGAUGCAGCAAUGCCGCGUGUGUGAAGAAGGUCUUCGGAUUGUAAAGCUCUGUUAGUUGGGAGGAAGGAAAGUGAGAGUAAACCUUGCUGUCUUGACGGUACCAAAUGAGAAAGCAACGGCUAACUACGUG
This 484-nucleotide ribosomal RNA is filed under the name uncultured bacterium. RNAcentral describes it as "partial 16S ribosomal RNA". It matches the Rfam family "Bacterial small subunit ribosomal RNA", at positions 30 to 507 of the family's 1533-position model. The record is from RNAcentral.